UUUGAAUAAUUUAUUAUUGGUCUAAUAAAUGCAUUGUUUUUUUUAAUCAGAAACAAAUUUCAUUAGAUGAAAUUAGUAUACAAGGCCAAGCCACAAAUAUAAGCUGCAAAAGAAACGAGCCCCAAACUUAAACUAUCAUAGCUAAUUAUAUUGAUUCUAUUUCUUGCUGAAUUAAUAACUUGAGCAUUAGAAGAAGCUCAUAAUUGGACGGCAGGAGGCCUAGCAUUAUAGUUGCCUCCCCAAGUAGCAUCCUCUGCUGCAAUAACAGGAAGAAAAAUUAAUUCCAUUUUCCCUUUGUAACCUCCUACGAGUGUGAAUUUUAAUGAAAAUUACUUUCUAAUUGAGGAUCCAAUAGAGAGAGACAGGUUCAGGUACUUUACUUACCAGUUGCAUGAGGCUUGUAAGAUUCUUGCAGUUGCCUUAAUCCCAUUGCAGAGGCCAAGAAGAGCAUGAAACUCAAGAGAACCACCUCCCAGAGAAAAAAACUUUUCCCGGUAGCCAUUUCUUGAUAUACAAAUCGUGUUCAUAUGUUUUACUUUUAUAGGCGCGAAUAGGCUCCUUAAUCAUUGGCAUCAGCUUUCAUUGCAAGCGUGAGCCAUUCUUUUCAAGUCCGAU
RNAcentral lists this long non-coding RNA (615 nucleotides) under Manihot esculenta (cassava). RNAcentral describes it as "long non-coding RNA (MESC_LNC003634)". Lineage: Eukaryota; Viridiplantae; Streptophyta; Magnoliopsida; Malpighiales; Euphorbiaceae. The record is from RNAcentral.